Long non-coding RNA from Gallus gallus (chicken), 4637 nucleotides. The record is from Ensembl. NCBI's taxonomy places the organism in Eukaryota, Metazoa, Chordata, Aves, Galliformes, Phasianidae.
GAGUGGCUGAGCAGUCAACACACAUGGCAGAACUCCUUUCACAUUUGAUACUGAUACAAUACACAAUGGUGAAAAUUAAUAAACCAUCAGCAGUCUACCAAUUAAAAGCUGGACCAUCAGUGGAGAAGCAAGAAAAGCCAGCAAAAUAUGUAGCCUGAACUCAUUUUAAGAAGAAAGGUAUUUCCAUUGUUCAACAGUUUCACUGCUAAAAAAAUAUUGUGAAUCUUACACUGAUUUGGUCUGACUUCCAUUGACUUCGACUUUGUAUCAAUUAUACUGAAGAAUACUUUCAAUGACAACGAAUCCAAACAACUGCUUUUUUUGUCUGAUUACAAGACUGUUGGCCUUCUGGAAAGGGAGAAAAGUGGGGAACAUUUCGGAGUCUGGCUUACAGCUCAGGGGAGGAAGCUGGCUGCUGCAGACAGUCUCCCAGGAAACAGCCCGUCUUGUCUUCAGAGGAGUAUCUGGAGGCUUUCUGCACUCAGCGGCCUGUUGAAAUUCUCUAAAAGGGCUGGAUGAGCUCCUUACAAGUGACAUAGUCUUCUUUCUUUGGGAUGUGAGGAAUUUAAGCUCUUCAGAGUCAUGCUGGAAGAAGAGAGACUCCUUCCUUCUGGUAUUUGGGCUCUCACCCAGUGUAAGAAAUCCGUAAGGGGUGGUGAUUUUGGAGAGGUGGGGCAAAGAGAGGGCAGCUCUUGUUGCUGGGUCGGAAUGAUGUGCUGCUCUCUCUAAGUCUCCAGGGAAAAUUGCUUGGUCCGCAAAGCACAGGGUUCCUCUUCUGUGCAGACUUCCUCCUUUACACAGUGCAUCUUUCCUGAUGUAGGAUUCAGAUUUGCUUCUAGUUGUCCUGCGCUUUUGAACAACUUCAUCAGACAUUUGUCUCUCUGGAGGAUUCUCAAUGGUAUCUUCCUCUGGUUCCUGUUGAAAGGCAAUAUGCUCUAUGUCCAGAGAAGGGAUGAAAAAUUUAGGGAUGCGAUCAGGAGUCAUGACAAUGUUGAAAAUAUCCGUGUUUUUCUGAGCCAUUUUAUCUGCAGAAGUUGGCUUGCUGAUUUUGAAGCUUGUCCAAGUUAGCAAGCUUUCUAUAGCAUUUUUUAUGGAGAGCUGGGAUGUACCACAAGGCACCAUUAUUUCAGCCAGAAGUGCUUUCUUACAAAACACAAUGCUGUCUGCUGAUUGAAUUUGCACAGCACUGAUUGCAGAUGGGGAACUCAUUCCUGCUUAUAAAACAAAGCAAAUGACGUCAUCUGAUAGCUAGAUGUCAUUGGCAUGGUAACCAAAGAUAAGAAGGCUUUUACACUCCUACUUAUAUACUUACAGUCUGAUUCAUGCUGCACCAUUACCUUAAAUAAGCUUAAACAUUUGAUUUAAUGAUUUUAAAAUGCCAGGUUUGGUGCUAGUUUCCUAGCUAUUUUCAGGACAGGAAAAAAAAAAAAAGGCUGCAAAUGUACCUGCAACUUUCAGACUAUUCAUGUUGUGUUAUCUGUGCUAUUGCACAAAAUAGAUUUAGGCUUUUACUUUAUGUGAAGGGCUGUGACACUAAAAUGAUGUGCAAGUAGACAUAAAAAGCAUAGCUCACAUAUGAUUACUUAGUUUAACUUUCAGUAAAUCAUACUAUUUUGUGUAAUUUACAUUGAGGUUGUGAGGGAAAAGGGUAGGAAUUGAGAUAUCAAACAAUUAUUGGUCUAGUAUAUAGUAAUGUAUUUUAAGGAUCUCAAACUGUCUUUCACUGGUGUAUGAUAUUUAAUGUUGAAAAAGUAGGCUCCUCAGUGAAGACUCAGAUUAAAUAUCUAUGAUUAAAGGAUGGACAUCUGCUCAGGUGUAUAAAGAAGUUUGUAACUGAUGUGUCAGUUUCUAGUGGUACUUGUGUUUCAGCACAAGAAAGAUGCAGAGCUCUUGGAGCGGGUCCAGAGGAGGGCCACUAAGAUGAUCAGAGGGCUGGAGCACCUCUCCUAUGAAGAAAGAUUGAGGGAACUGGGUUUCUUUAGCUUGGAGAAGAGAAGGCUCUGGGGAGACCUCAUUGUGGCCUUCCAAUAUUUGAAAGCAACAUAUAAACAGGAGGGGGUACAACUGUUUAUGAGGGUGGAUAGUGAUAGGGCAAGGGGGGUUGGUUUUAAACUGAGAUAGGGGAGGAUUAGGUUAGAUAUUAGGAAGAAGUUUUUCACUCAGAGGGUGGAGAAACACUGAAACAGGUUGCCCAAGGAGGUUAUGGAUGCCCCAUCCUGGGAGGCCUUCAAGGCCAGGCUGGGUACGGCUCUGAACAGCCUGGUCUAGUGGUUGGCAACCCUGCACAUAGCAGGAAGGUUGAAAUUAGAUGGUCUUCGAGGUUUUUUUCAACCCAGGCCAUGCUAUGAUUCUAUUAUUCUUUGAUUCUUAGACUUCUGUGUACCUAUGGUCACUGAGGCAGCUCAUGGCCAGCUCUGAAAACAGAAAGGCUGAUCACUGACUUGGUGCAACAAUACAGUUCAUUUUCCAACUAUUUUUUAAUAUCCUUUCUUGAACGUCACUCCUUUCCUACCUUUGUGAAAGUUGUUCUACCUCACUUUAUAUGCAUGAUUAUCAGGAAAGGUCUGGAGAACACAAAAGAGUGAAUGAACAUCUCUGUAGGAUGAGUAGUUCUAAGUUCUGUUUCUACGUGUUAUCUUUUAAUGUUGGUGACAUUUUGUGAGCUGGUGUUACUGAGCACUUUGAAUGCAUGAAGCAAGUUUCCCUGUGUUACAGAGGGAAAUGUUACAGAGGGAAAUGUACAGAGGGAUGUUACAGCCCAUAAAAUAUAUUUCAAUUUAUUUUAUACAGUAUCUUUUUUUUUCUUUUUUUUUUUUCUUUUUUUUCUCUUCCUGUUAAUGUUCUUGCAGUUCUUAUUUCAAUUUGCUGUGUUUUUGGACUAAAGUUCAGUACUCCGAAUUAAACUACACACUAGUGGUUAGUCAGGAAGGCCAUGAAUUCUUUGAAUUCAGUUGCCUAUGUGUUUUUUUUUCUGACACUGCCUAUAGAUUUUGGUUGAUGUUGUUUCCAGGUUACAUGACCACCCUUCAGAACAGUAUCUUUUCAUGUUGGCUUGUUGAAACAUAGAAUCAUAGAGUCAUAGAAUCGCUAAGGUUGGAAAAGACCCACAGGAUCAUCCAGUCCAACCAUUCGCCCUUCGCCAAUGGUUCUCACUAAAUCAUGUCCCUCAACACAACAUCCAAACGCUCUUUAAACACCACCAGGCUCGGUGACUCCACCACUGCUCCAGGCAGCCCAUUCCAGUGCCUGACCACCCUUUCAGAGAAGUAGUAUUUCCUAACGUCCAGCCUGAACCUUCCCUGGCACAGCUUGAAGCCAUUCCCUCUAGUCCUAUCACUGAAGAUAGAAACGGAAUAUCUUUAGGUGGCAUUCUGGGUCAGAUGGGUAGCCUGUUUGUUGCAAUAACACAAUCCUUUCAAGGAAGGAAUUCUUAUGUAACAAUGACUUGUCCUCACAUACAUAUAGGCACAAAAGAAUUGCAUAUUCAUAGAGAUAAGGAAAAAGAAAUGGAAUGAAAAAAAGAAUAUUGAUUUAAGCUUGCUUAUUUUUGACUUGGAAAAGUCAGCAAUAUUAAAUUAACGGAGCAGGGAUAACAAAAGCAAAGUAUCUUGAAAUCACCGGUAAUAUAAUUCUGAUGCUUCACAGGAAAGAAAAAUAGGGGAAUGAGUACUAAUUGUCAGAAUGAAAUUCCCUCAGGAUUCUGCCAUUUCACAAACCUUCAGUUCUUUCAAUAACGUGCUUGUUUUUAUAGAUAGAAAACUUCUAAAAAAGCAGCCUCUCCGACUGAAUGACACAUCAGAAAAAGAGAAAUGUGCAACAUUGCAUGUCCUUUGAGAACUCUGUAGUGUGAAGUUCACUGUUCUCCAGUAUUACAGUUUUAUAUCUGUUAUGUUUAAUAUGUUAAUGUGUUUAAUAUGUUUAAUUAAAAAAAGAAAAAGAAAAAAAGAAAAAGCUAUGUCAUUAUUGUCUUGAGGGUUCUCUGUUAUUCUCUGUUAUUUGCACUUUAACAUAUUCUGGCUUCAUUUACAGGUAAAAAAAUAUACAUACUGGCAUUUCUAUAAUAUGUCUUUUUAUUUUUUAAUCACAAACAUGCAGUUUAUCAUAAAAAAAUACAGUGCUGUUCAAUAAUUACUCUUAUAUUUGCUAAGGAACGUCUAUUUUUGCUCUAGAGAUUAAUAUAUUUGAGAGCAGUGGCUUAUCUGGACUACUUUUCCAUGAAGAUUGCACAGCUCUUCCUUCAAACAAUUUGAAAGACAAUAAAAUGUAAAUCCUUCUGGAAAACUCUGUGUCAGAAUUGGCUCUCUUUUAUUAGGUAGAAAAAGGAACAUCUCUUAUACCUAACACAAAGAUUAUAUUUGGCUCUCUAUACUUCAAUUUAGGAAACAGUUUAAUGUAAAAUUUUUAUUAUUGUUAUUAUUUUCUCAUUCUUCUCUCUCUCUUAAAAAUCUUGCUUCCCAGAUUCUGAAGUAUGAUUUGUGUUUUUCAUCACAUUUUUAAGCACAAUGGCCUUAAUUUUUGGUGACAAAUGCAUAUGUACAAACACAUAAUACACACUUCUAAUUAUUUAUAUCUAUGAUGCAUUCAUACAUUUAUAAAAAUUGAUUUAUAUGUUUCUGUGUUCAUAUAUUGUAUCAUGU